This 272-nucleotide non-coding RNA is filed under the name Pan troglodytes (chimpanzee). The record is from RNAcentral. Lineage: Eukaryota; Metazoa; Chordata; Mammalia; Primates; Hominidae.
GACACAAAAUUUAAUUUAAUAGAAAUUUUGUUUGUAGUUCUUACAUUCUCAUUGUGAGCCAAUCUGGGACCCACUGCCCCACCCAGAAGUGGCCCAGUCCUGGGGGGGCAGGGGAGAAAGGGAGGGGUGAAAUGAGAAGAGCCCCGUUCUUCCUCAGUGCUGGGGGGUUGGAGGGGAGCUAAGAGAUGAGAGAAGGGGACAGAGGCAAGAAAAGAUGUUGAUCAAGAAAGAUGAGAACCAGGGGUGAGGGCUGAAGGAGAAUCAAAGAUAAA